AGCUCACCAUUGUAAAGUCAAAAAAAUCGUAAGUCGAACCAUUUAAGUCGUGGACCACAAUGGGACAGCGGGAUGGUAUAGAAGCGUCAUAUAAUUAAGAACCUUUAUUUAUUCAUUUAGUAGAUUCUUUUCUCCAAAGUGAUGUACAUCUCCACGAGGGAAGGGACUCGGCAGUUCUGAGGGACAGAGGGAGUUAAUUCCACCACAGCACAGUUCAGAGAUUUUGGAAUUUGGGCCUUUCCUGUGACCUUUGCCAUAUGAGCCUUGGCUGAUUAACCAAACUCUGAUCACAGGAUGAUUUAAACUGUCCAAACUAUAGAGUGGCAUUUAGUUUUCACUGUGGUUGUGUAACAGCUGCACAUGAUGCGUUCGCAAGUCAUACCCUCCCUUUUAUUUAUGCAUAAAGCUGAUUACAUAUUUUAUCCAUGGUGUGUACGUACAGGGGUUAGAUGUCAGGUCACAGCAUGCUCUUGGCCUCAGCCUGGAAUGCCAUUAGUCUCUGACUGCAUUUCUCCAUAGGGAACACUUAAUUAGUCCUUCUGAGAACCGAUCCCAGAUAGCCCAGUGACAGGCCUACGUUCAUCAUCGUCGAGUCGGUACGUUUGGAAGCACAGCUUGAGAAACCCUGUUGGAGAUAACGGGAACAGCUUGCUCUUAAGUGAGCACUGGAGAGCCUGUGCCGCAUGGCUCCAGGUUCGAACAGAGAGUGGAUUCAGGUACCCAUCAGAGCAACCCAUGACAAUUCCUGGAGCUGAACACUGCUGUGCAUAGUGGCAAGGGUACGACAGCGGUCCCACCGAAAUGACAAGGGUGGCUAGGGGCUGUGAAAGGAACAUGAGCAGGAAGGAGCAGCACUAAGGCGUUGAAAAGGAAAGACAAGGCAACACAUGGCUGUGGACUUGAGCUCAUUGGAAGGAAUCAGGUUUCUUACCGCGGGAAUCACAAGUGGACAGGGCUGAGUGUAAGAGUAUUAGUUUGACACAGUUCCGGUUAACAUAACAUCCAAGCAGUGUAUUUUUUCUCUUUUUACCUCAGUGCAUGCACAGUACGCCUGUCCCCCAAACAACAGGGUUAACAAUUCAAUUCAAUUUAAUUCAAUUCAGUUCAAUUCAAUUUAUUUUCAU
Long non-coding RNA from Scleropages formosus (Asian bonytongue), 1124 nucleotides. RefSeq lists it as uncharacterized. The transcript is spliced from 3 exons. The record is from RefSeq and is a predicted model, not a curated record. Lineage: Eukaryota; Metazoa; Chordata; Actinopteri; Osteoglossiformes; Osteoglossidae.